Molecule: unclassified non-coding RNA, 224 nt
Filed under: uncultured fungus
Lineage: Eukaryota; Fungi
Description: sequence contains ITS1
Source: RNAcentral
GUAUUAUUGAUCGCGUGCGACCGCGAAAAUAAACAUUCUACACUGUAUCGAGUUUUGUGUAAAGACGCGGGCCCUCCGGCAAAGGGGGACCCACGCGGUGAUGCACAAGGGGUGAAAUGGAUGUGUGAGAGUGCUCAGGCGUGCACGACCUUUUGAAAGGUCAGCGACAGCCCUCGCACCCCCGUUGUAUGAUAAUGAUCCUUCCGCAGGUUCACCUACGGAAA